This 70-nucleotide transfer RNA is filed under the name Cavia porcellus (domestic guinea pig). It matches the Rfam family "tRNA". Rfam says of the family: Transfer RNA (tRNA) molecules are approximately 80 nucleotides in length. Lineage: Eukaryota; Metazoa; Chordata; Mammalia; Rodentia; Caviidae. The record is from Rfam by way of RNAcentral.
GUUUAGCUCAGUGGCAUGAGCACCUGCCUGGCAAGCAUGAGGUCAUGAGUUCGAUUCCCAGUACUAAACA